AGGGCUGGUUGCACGGUUAUCCCGCCAAUUGGAGCACCGUACGACGAGAUCAAAGAAUCGGCUAAGCAUGUAGAGCACAAGACGUAGGGCUUGCGGACGGGGGUUCGACUCCCCCCGCCUCCACCA
Molecule: transfer-messenger RNA, 126 nt
Filed under: Novosphingobium sp.
Lineage: Bacteria; Pseudomonadati; Pseudomonadota; Alphaproteobacteria; Sphingomonadales; Sphingomonadaceae
Description: partial transfer-messenger RNA
Rfam family: transfer-messenger RNA
About the family: Bacterial tmRNA, also known as 10Sa RNA or SsrA, is named for its dual tRNA and mRNA-like properties. Its role is to liberate the mRNA from a stalled ribosome. To accomplish this part of the tmRNA is used as a reading frame that ends in a translation stop signal.
Source: RNAcentral